RNAcentral lists this ribosomal RNA (256 nucleotides) under uncultured bacterium. RNAcentral describes it as "partial 16S ribosomal RNA". It matches the Rfam family "Bacterial small subunit ribosomal RNA", at positions 524 to 776 of the family's 1533-position model. The record is from RNAcentral.
UACGUAGGGGGCAAGCGUUGUCCGGAUUUAUUGGGCGUAAAGAGCGUGUAGGCGGUUUGGUAGGUCCGCUGUGAAAACUCGAGGCUCAACCUCGAGACGCCGGUGGAAACCAUCAGACUAGAGUCCGGAAGAGGAGAGUGGAAUUCCUGGUGUAGCGGUGAAAUGCGCAGAUAUCAGGAGGAACACCGGUGGCGAAGGCGGGUCUCUGGGCCGGAUACUGACGCUGGAGGAAGCGAAAGCGUGGGGAGCAAACAGG